UACGUAGGAGGCAAGCGUUGUCCGGAAUCACUGGGCGUAAAGAGUGUGUAGGCGGUGUUCUAAGUCUGUUGUGAAAUCUCCCGGCUUAACUGGGAGGGUGCGGCGGAAACUGGAAUGCUAGAGGAUGGGAGAGGUAAGCGGAAUUCCUGGUGUAGCGGUGAAAUGCGUAGAUAUCAGGAGGAACACCUGUGGUGUAGACAGCUUACUGGACCAUUUCUGACGCUGAGACACGAAAGCGUGGGUAGCAAACAGG
This 253-nucleotide ribosomal RNA is filed under the name uncultured bacterium. RNAcentral describes it as "partial 16S ribosomal RNA". It matches the Rfam family "Bacterial small subunit ribosomal RNA", at positions 524 to 776 of the family's 1533-position model. The record is from RNAcentral.